RNAcentral lists this ribosomal RNA (780 nucleotides) under uncultured bacterium. Its description in RNAcentral is "bacterial SSU rRNA". It matches the Rfam family "Bacterial small subunit ribosomal RNA", at positions 28 to 806 of the family's 1533-position model. The record is from RNAcentral.
GAUGAACGCUGGCGGCGUGCUUAACACAUGCAAGUCGAACGAAGCACUUUAUUUGAUUUCCUUCGGGAUUGAUUAUUUUGUGACUGAGUGGCGGACGGGUGAGUAACGCGUGGGUAACCUGCCUUGUACAGGGGGAUAACAGUUGGAAACGGCUGCUAAUACCGCAUAAGCGCACAGCAUCGCAUGAUGCAGUGUGAAAAACUCCGGUGGUAUAAGAUGGACCCGCGUUGGAUUAGCUAGUUGGUGAGGUAACGGCCCACCAAGGCGACGAUCCAUAGCCGACCUGAGAGGGUGACCGGCCACAUUGGGACUGAGACACGGCCCAAACUCCUACGGGAGGCAGCAGUGGGGAAUAUUGCACAAUGGGCGAAAGCCUGAUGCAGCGACGCCGCGUGAGCGAAGAAGUAUUUCGGUAUGUAAAGCUCUAUCAGCAGGGAAGAUAAUGACGGUACCUGACUAAGAAGCACCGGCUAAAUACGUGCCAGCAGCCGCGGUAAUACGUAUGGUGCAAGCGUUAUCCGGAUUUACUGGGUGUAAAGGGAGCGCAGGCGGUGCGGCAAGUCUGAUGUGAAAGCCCGGGGCUCAACCCCGGUACUGCAUUGGAAACUGUCGUAGUAGAGUGUCGGAGGGGUAAGCGGAAUUCCUAGUGUAGCGGUGAAAUGCGUAGAUAUUAGGAGGAACACCAGUGGCGAAGGCGGCUUACUGGACGAUAACUGACGCUGAGGCUCGAAAGCGGGGGGAGCAAACAAGAUUAGAUACCCUGGUAGUCCACGCCGUAAA